UUUUUUUUUUUUUUGGGUUUUUCCAGAACCCUAGUCUUUGAGAUUCUAAAAAUCAUGAAAAAAAAAAUUAAUAUGAACCUCGAAUUGACUUUGCUUUUGCAAAAGAUGGGCUUGCGGAGAGGAAAUUAUAAACACAAGCAAUUAUCAUCGUAACUUAUUUUAUAGUGUUGUAAAUAAACACGCAAGUAAUUUUCAUCACCGAUCACGCCUUAUUUCACAGUAUCGUAAAUAAACAACUCUAGUCUUGCUUGUCAUAUUGAAAACAAAAUGGAGCCACAAAGAUGAUGUGGUUAAAUAUUUUUGUAUUAAUAGGCCUUCAUCACAUAUACAAGUAUUACAAGAUAAUAGGUUAAUCUUCUACAAAAAUAAAUAAAUAAAUAAAUAGCCGAACAAUAUAGGGAUUUCUUGAGAUAAAUUGUUGCCUAGCAUGUGCCGAGGCCACUCAGCCAGCCCACACCCUCAUUUUGGCGAGGGCAUAGGGCCAGCGCAUGAGUUCAAAUCCCCUUUUGGAACUCUUAUAAUUCUUGUCUCAGUUAAAAAAUUAAGUAAAGAUAACGGGUGGAGUACAUACCCCUCCAAUAUUGUGAGGAUAGAAAUCUAGGCUUGUGCCAUAUUAGACUUUAUGUAAGAUAAUCCUAGUAACUUUCUGAUUCUAAAUAUCACUAGCCUUCUUAUUGUAAUAUAUAUCAGUAUUCCAAAAUAAAGAAAUAUUGCCUAGCAUGCAUUCAUGUACGUAAGAUAAACAAACAAGAAAGUGAAGAAGAAUAAUAUCAUAUAAAUGACAUAAAUUUGAAGAACUAUAGCAAUAUAUUGAUAUUAAAAGUCCAAGCUGGGGUCAAGCAUAUAGAAAUAAUGUUCUCGUAUUAGAAAUGAUAAUAUAAUUACUCUAAACUCAAUUCAAAAUAGAAAGGGGUGUUGGAGAAGUGUAGCAUGAAAAAUGAUAUCAAAAUCUGUUUUGAUGAGCCGAGCUUGAGCCUCAAUCCACCCACUACAAAGAACUACAAUUCUAUUAUAGAGUGCACUCUAGAACGUUAAAAUUUCAAGAGGCCACUUCAUUGCUUCAAAUUCUUUAAAAUACCUGCUGAAAGAGGAUGCAGAACACAACAGAUUUGUUGACUGAAUUAUAAUCUUUCACACCGAGAUUCGCUCAAGCAGUCAGCAUCCUCUGGAGCAUUUUGGGUAAUUUAUCAAGACAAUUUAAAGUUCAUCGUGGUGCGGAGGUUGCUUCUUGUUCAAUUCAUCUAGUUUAUUUUGCAGUUCCUAUCAUAUUUUGCAAUUUACCAAAUAUUAUUAGAAAUCCAAGGCAAAAGAGAAGAGGUUAUCGCUGCAAAUUUUACAAAAUCCAUAGUAAACUUACCUGAAGCUUUUCCUCUGAGCAAACAGCAGGGGUAGACAAUAAUGCGACAUAUCUGCAAUGAUGAACUAGAAGUUAGACAACAAGCAGGAGACAGACAAAGAUAGAAAUAGAGAGAGGAGGGAAAAUUUCAUACUCGCAGCGGCUUGGUUCAUCAACAUCAGUAACCUCAUUUUUCAACCCACAUCUUAGCCGGACCUGUAAAACAAUACAUUUAUAAUUGAAUUCAUUAAAUCUAUCUUUUAAUUUGACUUCCAUUUCAAUGACCAUAUUACUUAAUUUUUGUCCCACGGUUAUGAACUCUUUAAAGUAACCUUACAAUUGGAUGGAAAGAUAACAUGUUUCAUGUAGUUUGUGUUUUGUGAUAAAUACUUUGGAUCUAAGCACAGGUAAUCCACAAAUCUUCUAAUGCAAAAUCUAAAAUAUUGUUACAAGUUCUGAGAAAUAAAAUUGAGAAAUAUUGGAUUCCAACAACUUCUGACAGAAUCAAAGCACAACCAACUGCAGUAACAUCACAAUGUUACCUUCAUACUUCUAUCAGGCCCAUUCCAACACUUAUCACCGUUUGAAAAUAGCAUGAUGUGGUAUGAGUCCUCGAAUUUGUCCCAGCUCCUAUUCAUCAAAAAACAACAGGAAAGAAGAGAGUACAAUCCAAGUAAGUAAUCAGACGGAAAGUGGAAUGCAAAAGGAAUGUGGACAUCACAAGGAUUGGCAAUGAUCAUAUUGGAAGGGGUUCAAGCAUUUGUAGUACAAACUAAAAUGCCUACCCACCCGACAAAUCUACUAUCUCAUCUUGAUUAUUCCCCUUUUUUUAUGCCUAAUUACUCCAAGUUGCAUUAAAUGAAUCCAAAUACAAACAACAUGUUUAAAUGUACCAUGGGUCAACCAAAAUACUCAGAUUUGUCCAGAACAUAGAUCUUCAAGGUGGAAGAACAAACAAUAUGCUGUAAAAAGAGCAAAUAUAUAAAACUACUAGGGAAAAAAUAAUGCAACCAAAAAAUAGUUGUAGAAACCUACCCCAGACGAGUCGUUGAGUGGCCCUCCUCUUGGGUAGUUUUUUUGUAUGGACAGACUUUGUAAACAUACCUGAAGCAAGAUCAGCCAUGGCAAAACAAUUUGAAUUGAAGAUAAUUGCAGCUUCCUAGAAGAUAUAAAAUAUUAAUAGUAAUGAUACAGCUACAAACUCUUUUGUCCAAAUGACUUUGUACAAACUGAUGUGGCAUCACAUGAAUGGUUAAAUGAAGACAUCACUUGGCCCACAUGAUUUAUUUUUAUUAUUUUAUAUUUUUAUUCAAGCAAUCAUGUAAUGCCCCAUCAGUUAGUACAAAAAAUAAUUUGUACAAGAGUUUGUAGCUAUAACUACACAAAUACUAAAUGGAGGAAAAAAGAGUUAAAAAUAGUAACUUGUUCUGCUUGCUCUCAAAACAAUGACCGUAGAAUGAGUAGAACUCCUUCUCUGGCCCUGUAAUAUGAAAGUUCAAGUCAGUUUAGAGAAGCUAAGAUAAAGAAUUAAAUGCCAGAGCAUCAAUUAACAAACAUAAGUUCAUCUUAUACAAACCAAAAUCAUGCUUAAGCUUUUGUGUCAAACUCGAUAUCCUCGACUGUAUUUUAGACAACUUGUCGCUAGACUCAUCAUACUCCUUGCGGACACGAGCAGCGUCUAAAGAAGCAAAACAGAAUAGAUGAUACAUUUCCAUGCAUAAAUUUCCACAUCAAAUAUAACAUAGAAUAAAGGCUUGAACUGUACCUGAUUUGUCUACUGGCGUUUGGAACAAAUUAACAGCCUGCAAAAUAUUCCGUACUGUUUGUUGUAUCUUCUCCAACCAAGAUGGACUACUUGGAGUUGUCAUCUCUAAUAAUAAAGUUGGAUAAAUCAGAGACUGGGGAUUAUGUCAGCCUUACUAAAACAGCUAAAAUUAUAAAAUAAAGUUAACAAUAAAGAAUUUACGGGAAAUAAAGACUUACAAACCUGACAUAUCCAAGUCGUCAUCUACAUCUGUUUUGUAUGAAGUACUGGUAUAAUCAUGAUCCUCCUCUCUAUAAGUUUCAUCUAUAUCAUCUUCCACAUCAUUGUCAUCAUACUUUUCAGUGUCAUACCUUUCUGAAUCAUCAUCAGUAUCUGUAGCAUAUCUAUCCUCUUCAUCAUCAUGGUUGUACUCUGGCACAUCUUCACCUUGAUCAUCAUUUUCUAUUGCACCACCUUCCCCAGAUUGCUUCUCAGUCUUUUCUCCUGUCCAACGAGAAGCAACAAGGCGACCCAACUCUUCCCUUGAUAACUCCUCGGUAUUUUCGGAUACACCAUUCUCCUGUAGUAGCACGCAAUGCAAACACCAAAGACAACAAAAUGACAAAGUUUUGCUAAUUCUAGGUUUGCAGAGGAAAAUAUGAAUGAGAAACUCCUAGGAGAGUUCCUGAUUCUAAAAAACAAUUGUCCCAAAAAUGAUAAGACAAAAACUUUUCUCACUUCUUCCAAAAUAACAGCAAGUUCACAAUACAUUAUCCUUCUAAGAUAAAAGUGACAUCAAGAUUCUCUAUUAACAUUCUAAAGAUCACAGGAAAAAGAUUAAUUAUAAUUGUAAAAAUACUGUAUAGAAAACUUUUCAUCUUCCUCCUCUUCCUUACUACUUUUCUUUAUAUUCAACAACACAGAUGCAGUAACCAGAAAUUUAAUUUUAAAACCUGAAUUCAAUGAUCUCAGAAAUAUAAUGCAGCUUAGCAUCACCUAGAAAUUCCAAAGAUUGCAAUAAGAAAACCUAAUAAAAGCAUCAUCAAAAAUAAGAAGACAACCGAGUAUUGGCUACUGAUAAAAGAAAUAUUUCCCUUAACAAUAUGGGUUGUUACACGACUAUCUUUAAGCUGGCUGCAUUCUCUGCUUGGGUGUUUUGAAGUAUAUCACAUGAUUAGAGUAAAAAAAUAAACAAAUAUAUCAUAUGCGCAUGUUCGAAUGAUGUAGAACAUCUGGCAAUUAACGCACAUGUUAGGCCCAGGCAUAAGAGCUAAACAUUGUUUCGAUUUGUCUUAUACAUAAGAGCUAAACUUUGUUUUGAUUUGUCUUAUCUCUUUUUUUUUUUUUAAUUUAGAUUCAUUAGGUUUCUUUUGAUUGUUUGAGACAGAAACACUGCUGAGAAAUUUACCAAGUUCUUCUCUUCUUUCUUCUCUGCUUCUGGAGACAUCGGACUUUCAGCAUCCGAACUUGUUUCUGGUACAGUGGAAGAACCAUCCUUGCUUCUUGAUGAAGCAGACUGCUCCAUCUCUUCUGUUGCAUGCUAUAUUCAGAGGGAAGAACAUAUCACAAUCUUAUAGUUUUGGAUGGGAGCAUCACUUCAUGGAACAACUUCAAUGUAAGGAACAUACUGAUUGACAAAGUCUAAUUUUCAUUUACCUGCUCCACUCCAUUGACUGGCGUUCCCAAAUUUUGAGAAGUACCAAUUUGUUUAGCUUCAGUUGCUGGCUCUUCAUCAACGUUCUCAGCCUUGCCCUAUUAGAGAGCUGGUAUGUGAGAUCUUGAAAAAGAAAAUUAUUUGCAACAGAAGGGAACAGUAACCAAGAAUACACAAAUCACAAUAAAUAUACAUUGACAUAUGAGCUUCUACUAUAUGUACAUAUAACUAUAGCUGUAUCCAUGUACAGGAGCUAAAAGGCAACUAAAAUGUGUGUGACAAAUGUGGUACCAAGCGGAAAUACAAAUUAAAAUCUAGCUGUCAAAGGAAGAAGAACCAGCAGCAACAUGAGAAUUAUAGACGUGUAAAUUAUUUCAGAACCAAAACUAAAAAGUUGUGUCAAAGGAAGAGGAGAAAUCAAAGUGGAUCUGUGUAUCAAAUACAAGGAAGUAUUACAUCUUAAAAUGAUUCUGUUUAUGUAUAUAUGCAUGGGACUUGUAAUUAACAACUCCAUAGCAGAUUAACAUGCAAUGAAAAUUAGUAAAAGUUGAUUCAGCAAGUUAUUUCUUUUUCAUUAAUAAAAUUCCAUCGUAUCGUCGAGGUUCACCCCAAAAAAAAUUAAAAUAUAUAAAAAAGUUAUCUAUUAAAAGAUUUAAUAAUUUUAUAUUUAAAAAAACUUACUCUGAAUUGUGUUAUGAAAACCUGAAAAACUAAGGGGGUUACCACCGGGUUUCCAAAAGCAAAAUUCCACAUUACAAAAAGCAUAACAAGCUUAUGGCCAUUUGACCCUAUGCACACCAAACCAAGGAAAGAAAUUAUGUUUUAUCAGCAGCCAUGGAGAUAUAAUUGGUUAUGUAACUAACCAAAGUGCAUCAAUAGCUACUUUGCUAACUUCAUUUUUAAUUAAAGAAGAAACAAAAUUACAUGUGAUGAAAUUUAUAUUUGCAGAAAGACGAAAGUUGAGGUUAAAAGGCAGUCUAACCUGAUCGAAAGACUCCUCCUCCAAAACACCGACUUUAUCGUCAUGUCUAACAUCAUCUGGCUUGUCAUCACUGUAAGCAUUCUCCUCAGCUUUAUUUUUUUCCUGCAUAGCUUUCUCGCCAGAUUCACUUUUCUCCUUUCGUUCAUUUUCCUCAGCUUCUUUCCUUUCCUUUUCUUCCUUUUCUCUCUGCAAGCGCUCCUUCUCCUCUGCCUUUUCAAUUUGUUCUUUACGCUCUACAAUGGAGUGGAAGCAAAAGAUUAUGAUAAUGAGCUUUAUAAAGACGAUCAGCUUACGUCCAGCUGGCAAUAGAUAUAAGCAUCUUACAAACAGACAAGAAAAUUAAGAAGUUUAAUAUAUUAUUUUGUGGAUCACCAAGAUCAACAAUGCAAUCAAGACAGAUUACUGUUCACCAAUAACAUAACAUAUGAGGAAACAGACCAAUCAAAAAAGCAGGUACAUAAGGAUUUCCCAAAGUUAUGCAGCUAGCAAAACAUGUAUAAUUAAGAGUAUCUUGCUCACUCUGAAUUUUUCCAAGAAAUGAUUGAACAAAAUCGCUAGUAGUACACCAGGAAAGUGAACCAAAAGGCAUGCAAAAUGAGGACAACUUGCCAGAUGAGGCUAUUGUCAACGAAUAAAGGAAGCUUAUCUAGCAUUAAAUGUAUAAAAUGAAUCCAAAUACCAAUUUCUCGGAAGUUGAAAUGCGUCAAAAUCAAUAAAAAUUUCCAGCAGGGCAUGUCAAAGUUGGGGCACUGCAGCAACUAUGAGUUUUCACUGCCUAAUUCAUACAAUGCUGAGCUCAUCUAUUCUCACUCACCUUUCCCAUUCAUGACAGUACUAGCCUCAUGUUUCCUCCCCCAGAUGUUAGUAGUUCACUCAAAUUGGUCGUACAAGAUGUGGUCCAAGCACUUUAUGCACUAAGAAAAAAGCCUAUAGCAGACAAUGGAUGCCACCUUACUCAUUUUAACUAGUACUUCUAACAACCUCACAUGUGGUGUUUGUACAAGCUCAAAUAUCUAUUCUGCCAUACAUGAACAUAUAUUUAAUUUGCAGUCAAGUGCCUCAUAUUGAAAUAUAAUGAGUAAACAAUGUAACUAGUAAAGCUAACCUUGAAAAAAAAGAUCAUGACUGAAUAUAGUUGAAAAAUAGAGACAUUCACAGGGGAGGGCACAAUGCAUAUUAAAAACAUACCUUUAAGCUGUUGUACGAGCCCUUUGAGUAUUUUCUCUUCAUUUUUCAAAUUUGAUAGUUCUGCCUCAUCCUUGACCAGAUUUUGUUUUGCCUGUUCAAUUUCCUUCUUUCUCAAAAUGACACCCUCUUGGUAUGUAGCUAUCUUUUUCUUCAACUUAUCUCUAGCUACUUUACCAGCCUCCCAGCAAGUGUUUGGGCACUUUACUUUGCCAUCAUACUCAUCACUCCCAUCACAGCAAUCUGCACAUCAAAAGCCACUAAAACAAAUGCAUAGACCUAGAACUUGAAAUAUAAUACUUUAUUUGUGUCAAGAGUGAGAAACAACACACAGAAUAAGAAGUUAAGCAAAGCUGCAAGUAGGUAAUUGAAGUCGCAAAGAACAUUUACCACAAAUGCCAUCAUUCACUUUGGAAGAAAAUAUCAUAAGAGGGGAAUGUCCUGCAUUCUGACAAUAGAAUUUUCCAUUCGGGCAUGCCGAUGUACCUAUAACCCACAUUUCAAAUGCUGAUCCAAGUAAGGAAAUAACUCAAAAAACACAACCCAAUAACCUGACAAUUGGAUAAACACUACUUAAAUAACAAUGAUUGCAAAACAGUUUAAAACGAAGAACAGGUUCCCUAUGAAGUAACAGCCUUACUACAAAACAUAUCACUAAGAAACUAAAAUUAAUCCCCACUUCAAUUAGUUUAGAAUCCCAGCAAAGUAGCCGAAUUUACAAAUCAAGAACUAAUUUUCAUAAAAAAAGAAAAAGAAAAGUAGAAACUGUAAAUGCCAUUGCAAACAUAAAAGCAUAUAAGAGAUGAAUGGAAACCUGGCUCAUCAGUGCCAUCAGGGCAAUCACAAUAAUCAUCAUUAAGCUGGGUUUUGGCGAAUUUCUUGGAUCCAUCUUUGCACUUAAUGGUAUUUGAAGAAGUCUUGUAAUAAUUCUCAUCUGGGUAAUCCGAAAGCAACAGAAUCACAAACCCACGUGUUAAAAUCGUAAGAAACAAUCAAACUUCGAAACAUUAAUUGAAAGAAAAUAAAAGUGACCUUGAGGAGAAAUUCCAUAAAAUGGGUCAUUGAGAAGAGAAGACGCAGCAUUUGAUCUACCAAUAACUGAAGAAGACACCCAUAACAAACUCAACACAAUAGCAUACGUGAAUCUAAAAUCAACUAACACUACUCUCAUUUUUUUUUUUUUUAAAUUUCUUUCGACAAAUCAAUCAGCAAAAAAAAUUUGUAACUUUGUGUGCGCCCAAUAAGAAACGACAGCGAGGGAGAGAGUUUAUAAGUUCGAGAGAGAGACGGGUGAAGGUUUCCGAGUGCUUCUUAUUACUGCUCCGCAAUGCAACGAAGGAUUCUCAAAUGUAAAAAGUUGAAUAUUUUAAUCUCUUUUGUUGAGGGGAAAAGUGUGCUAAAAUAAUCUGACUUUAGGAUGAUUAAGUAAUUAGUGCAAUUUAAUGUUAAUUAUUUUCCAAGAAAAAUAUUUAGUAUUUUUAAAAUGAAUCAAUUUAAAAUUUAUCCAUUGCGGCUCAGCUAAAAGAAAUAUCAAUAGAGAUUUUAAUAGUAAUAUUUAUUUUACACGUACCGAACUUAGCAUGCUAAGAUUGAGCUAAAAGACCCACGAAAAUAUAUGUAAAUGUAAGAAGUUUUUAAAUCAUUUAUUUUAAUUCACUAUCGAGUUUAAACCUCAGGAAGGAUAAAAAAAAAAUCAUUAAUAAAAUUAAUUUAGGCUUUGAUCACUAGUCCUACGAUAGCUCAUAAUAAUUUUUACAAGAAUAAGAAAUAAAAAAUAAUAGAAGAUAUUUUUUCUUAAAAUAAAAGAAAAGACCUCAAUAAAAAAAAUAACAUAUAUUAUUUUCUGUUAAAACAACUAUACACAUUAUCCCCACUUUUUGAAAAUACUAUAUAUUACAACUCCCUUACUAAAAACCUCUCUACCAAUAAUUUUUUGUUUUAAGUUCGUUUAAUUAUUUAAGCUUACAAAAGUUUUUAUUUUGGUAAUUUCAUUUAUAAAAUUAUUAUUGAAAAUAACAAAAGGAACGGCGUCGUUUGUAGGUGGAAAGAUAUUUUUUUUUUCUCGAAAAUAAAGAGAAAAAUACAUCGUUAUCCUGAUCCAAUAAGUGUACAGAGCUAACGAAAAGAUACGAAGCUCGAGAGCAAGUCCAAUGGCCGUGGAGGCAACAAGUUCACUCCUAAGCUGUUCUUCGAAAACCCAUUUCGUGUUCAAUCUCCGCGCUUCAUCUUCACCUUCUUCUUGGAAAAAUUUCACACAAUUGGCGAACUUUGCAGUCAAGAACCGCCAUGUCUGCAGAAAUGAGAGGCCCAAUGUCUCCUGCUCGGCAGCAGCAUUUGCGGUGCAAGAAACGUUGGAGAAGACAAGAGAGUCUGUUAUGGCUAGUAGUGCUAAAGAAAUGAUGCCCAAGAUUGACAAAAGCGGCAGGUUCUGUAGCCCCAGAGCCGCUCGUGAGCUCGCUCUGUAUGUACUUGUUCAUUUUUAAUGCUUCUAGUGCCGGUUGUUGAUAAAUAUUUACUUUUUGGCCUUGAAAUUUUCCCAAAAUUGAAACUGUUGUUGGUAGGAUUUCUUGUUUAUGUCAUUAGACAGUCUUGCGCUUUUGUUCAAUUAAAAAAAAAAAAAAAGAAAUUGAAUUUUAUGUUCUAAUUUUGUUGAGGCUUAAUGGGCAGGUUGGUAGUUUAUGCUGCGUGUUUAGAAGGGUCUGAUCCUAUUCGGCUUUUUGAGAAGCGAUUGAAUUCUAGAAGAGGUAAUGCAUUUGGUAUUCAAGCAUUGCUUGAUAUGGGGUACCGCUGAAUUUGUUCUGCUUUUGAGAUACUUAUUUAUUAUACAUGCAGAACCUGGUUAUGAAUUCGACAAGUCUUCAUUGUUAGAGUAUAAUCAUAUGAGCUUUGGAGGCCCUCCUGUGACAACGGAAACAGUUGAAGAGGCAGAUGAGCUUCUGCGAAGUGAUGAGGAGGAGUCUGCAAUUGGUAAUAAAGCAUUUCUGGAAAAAUUUUAUUCACUUCUUAGACAUGCUGAUGCUUUUCUUUCUGUUGAGUGGCACACUUUUUGAGUUAAAAUUGUUGAAGCAAAAGUUAGUAUAUGUGCAGCUAAUGUGACCAUGCGAGCUUUUCUAACUAUAGUAGCUAGACAAACUUGUGUACUCCUGAGGCAUUGUUAGUGUUAGAAACUCCAGUGGAAGUUUAGUCAUUGUAUGCGACAUAGAGGAAUGGAGGGUGAAAGCAUGAUGCUUUAAUGUGGUAAGAAGACCUGUAUGGACUUUUUGUUUACUGUAGCUAGGUCAUGAAUGAAUGACCAAUUCAUCAUUUUGUGGGUUUCAUCCAUUUGUGAACUUGGUGAAUUGAUUCUUUUUCCGUCGUCUUCCUUGAAUUUGCAUACCAAAAUGUUACCUGUAAAGCUGAAGCUGCUGUUUGCUUUAAUUCUAUUCUUCCUUUAGUAAGCCUAAAUGCCUUAUUCCAAGCUGCAUUUUUGUAUCACAAACAGAAGCAGAAGUCCUCUCAGCUCCUCCAAAGUUGGUAUACAGCAAACUGCUUUUGCGGUAAAUCCCUAAUGAUACAUGAUUUUUAUUUUAUCACUAAACUAUUGGCUUUAAUUAGUUCAUUUAUAUGUGCUUUUGUGAAUGAAUGAGUGAGGUAAUAGGUAUGCGUCUAAUUUUUUAUGCUUCAUGCAGUUUCACAAGGAAGCUUUUGGUCGCAGUUGUGGACAAGUGGGAUGCUCAUGUCCGCAUUAUUGACAAAGUUGUACCACCUAUUUGGAAGGUCUGGAAAAUGGUUUUUAUUGUAUGCAUUGCUAAAUUUCUUUUUGCUAGGAUGAUAUUAUUAUCUCGCUAAACUUAGAUAGUCCGUCUUAUAUUUCUAAACCAAUUAUAAACUUUUUUGUUCAAUCUGUGGGAAAUUCUUUUUUACAUGAUUUUAUAAAAAUUAAGAGAAGACACCUACAAAAAUAGUCCUUUGCCAUCAAUUACUUGGAAAAAGAUAAUACCUUACUGAUAUCACAAGUGAAGUUAUGUUAGUAUACGUAUGAUGGAUGAUGUCUUCUGUCCAAAAUAUAUCAAUUUAAAACAUAUGCCUUGCAACAUUAGAUUGGACUGCUCUACUGCACUCUAAUUGUUUCAUAUUUGCUUAACAAGCAAAGAGGAAUAAAUGACUGGACUAGGUUCAGGUCCACAUGUUACAGUGUGAGUAUUGACGGCCAUCUUUUCUGAUUUAUUCAAUAGUUAACAUUUCUAGCUUAUGUGUUAGUUCAGAAAAUGCAACAUUACUGCAAAUGUCCUUGUAAUUGAGAAUGGUAUACAUUUAGGCAUAUAAAAGAUAAGGAAAUUUUCAUAUGCAUAUUUGAGUUGAGGCCAUUUGCCUGGAUCAGUUAUUCGGUUUGGUCCAUAUGUUGCCAUUUUAUCUCAAGCUUUUGUACGUUCACGCUUGGGGGAACACCAAGUAUUUUACUUCUUUGGAUUGAUAUACUUCAGGAUCAACCAGCAGGAAGAAUUUUGGAACUUAGCAUUCUCCACUUAGCCAUGUCUGAGAUAACAGUUGUGGGAACGCGGCACCAGAUUGUGAUUAAUGAGGCACAUCUCACUCUUCACUUUCUCUUUAUUGUUUGCUUCUCUUCCUCUACAAUCUGAUUGCCAUUAUAUUUCUUAACUCAUUGUCUUUUUCUUGAAGGCUGUUGAUCUUGCAAAAAGAUUUUGUGAUGGAGCAGCACCACGUAUAAUCAACGGUUGUCUUCGAACCUUUGUGAGGAAUCUUGAAGGAACUGCUAAUACUGAGGCUUCCAAGGCUAGCAAGGAAGUUCCAUCAGAAGUAUGAACUGCGCACUUUUUCAGUAACAUUCUUUCUGUGCUGGGAUUUUGUUACGAAACCCCCAUGUUAAGCUGAAGAACCUCAAUCUGAAAAGUGUGUUUUAUCAUCUGCUUCCGUAAAAUCUUGGAAAGUUUUGGAGGCUUAAUAGUUGUUAGAAACAGAUAAGUUCUGGGAAAUAUUAACGUCUCACAACAGACAAUAGAGCUUAAUAUAUAUGUAUAUGAUUCUUAUGUUGUAGUUAUUGAUCCUUUCUUGUACAACAUUAACGUCCAAUAUCUCUUAAUGAGAUCAUGAAUUAAAAUUUUAUUCCUCAUCUUUAUUUUUACACCAUUUCAUUCCUAAAGCUGAGACCAAUAUUAUUUUUGCUUAUGGCUUAAGGUGAGGUUUCGGCAUAUCUGUGUAUUAAAAAAUUUCUUGAAAAAUAAUCACAGUUCAUAUUAGUUGACCUAUAGCUUAUGAAUAUCUCCCAAUUCCUUUAACUUAGGAUAUAUCCUAAACUUAUGCUGAUAAUUAAAGAUAGUACUUUUUAAUUCUUUAUGUUUAUUAAUUUAUCUAUCACUGUAUUUGAUGUUCCAAAUAUAUAUAUAUAUAUAUAUAUAUAUAUAUAUAUAUAUAUAUAUAUAUAUAUAUAUAUAUAUAUAUAUAUUAUGAAUUUACUAAUCAUGGAUUCCUACUAUGUUAGUGAUUUAAGUGCUGGGACAUACAUAUGAUAUACAUUCGAACUCCUAUUGCGGGUAAUUAUUAGUCAUCCUCAAUGUCAUAUGGAUCCGGUGACAUACGACACUUGUAACUCUCCGAAUUUCCACAUGUGAAAGAAGGAAAAAUUUCAUGACCAAGCACUGCCCGUCAGCAUCUUCAACAAAUUAGGAUCACUGGUGGUGGAUGGAAAAUUCUAAUAUUGUUCAUUUGCCUGGAGAAAUUGGAUAAUUAAUAUGUAUCAUUUUUGUUCUUAGAACCUUUUUUUUUCCCUUAUAAUUGAGAAUGAGUGACUAUUUAGUAUGACUUAUCUAAUAUUAUAAGUGUUUAUUUAAUUUCAUAAGUUCUAAUUGAAAUUUUUGUUGUUAUUUAGUUUUUUCUUUUUUUUUUUUAGUAGAGCUUGUGAAGAUUAAAUAAGUUAUUUUACCUCCAAUAGCAAAAGUUUAAAUUUUAGGCUUUUGAGAGUAGGAGUCAAAUUUUUUUUUUAAAUGUUAAAAUCUCUAAAAUAUUCUUUACUUAUUUGACAAUUUUAUUUCAUUCUUUUUAUAAUAUAACUUUAAAAAAACUUAUCUAUUAAAGUAGUUUUAUAAAUUUUAAUAAAAGCUCUUAUAAACAACCAAAUGAUUAAAAAAAUUUUAAGUAAAACAUUUUUCUUAUAAAAAAUCUACUAAGAAAAAUUCUAUUUAAUUAAACUUUGUUUGUAAAGUUAUAUCAAGCGGAGCCUAAGAGACUUUCAUGGUCGGUGAAAUUUUUAGCUUUGUGGGAUUGGCCAGUAGUGUUUUCUUCAACACUCAACAGGAUUUCCACUACGGAGUGUCUGAAGGUUCAUACUGAUUGGAUAUUUCCUGGAAACAACUUGAUGCAUCUUUGUAAGAUUGACUAAAGACAAAAGAGAAAAUACCAUACUCAUCAUCCCCCAUCAAUUGUUGGCUAGAAACAGCAUAGAUAGUUCAUAAACAUCGAAAACUUUGAAUGAAGUCACUCCUGUCAAUAUCAAAGGGCCGAAGUUACAAGUCUAUGAUCGCCAAUAUGUUCACAUUAUCUGGUCGCGUCAUUUCCUGAUCUCUUUAUAUGAGAUAAUCAUCAGUCUUCCACCAAUAUGCGCGUUUUCUAUACCGUUCGUUUUGUUGGGUCAUGAGCCUCGAUCACGUUUGAGUCAACGUCAUUUUGUGAAUUUUCAUCUAGCAGAACACAUAGCACACGUAGAAUAUGAGACACGGCUUAACAACUUGUAUUCCAUUGAAUUUAUAGCGGUGAUUAAGCCACAAAUGAUGUCAAAUGGAAAGCUCUAGUUGAGAAAUGAAAGUUAGUAGUUGGUAUUUGGUAUAUAUGAUUAAGCCACAACUGUGGGUAAUUUUCAGACCAUAGUUAUAAGUGUUUACAAAACAGUUAUUUAACAGAGACCCCAAAUGGAGCCACAGUUUUAUCUAUCUAACAUUGAGUUAUAAUUUUAGCGGAGAUAAAUAGUUGAAGUGGGAUUUUCAGAUUCUUGAGCGAAGGGUUGAUUUCGGGGAAAGUCAACUCCAGCACGAGACCAAAUUUUCUUUGCCUUCAGUUCAGACAUGACUUGGGAAGCCGUGAAGCAAGUUAUUUAAGCAAAGUCAAUGAAGUCAUUUUUAAGUCGGGAAAAGUAUUAGUGGAGUCUUGCCUUCGAAAUUAGACCUCUGCACUUCGACAAGCUCUAUAUAUAAAGGAAUAAAAAAAUAUUAAAGGGCAAGCUCAGGAGAUUGCUUCUCAUUUAAGUACAAGAAUGUGCCGCUCAACUUACUCCCCUUACAUUAUUCUUUUAUGCAUCACGCUGAUACAAGUCCCAAAUUUUGCCACUUCCCUUUCAAAUGCCUUUCAGGAGAGAGAUCGUGUUGCAUUUCAGGCUUUCAAGUUAAUGAUUACUCAAGACCCUGAAGGAGUCCUGAACUCAUGGAAUGAUUCUCGCCAUUUCUGCGACUGGGGGGGGCAUUACUGGCAGUCCAAGGCAUAGAAGAGUGACCGUCCUGGACCUGAAGUCAAAAGGCUUGAUUGGCUCAUUGUCUCCUCAGAUUGGCAACCUGGCAACAACACCAUCCAAGGAAAAAUCCCUGGUGAAAUCGGGCGUCUGUUCAGGUUAGAAGCUCUGUAUCUGCCCCAUAACUCCCUCGUAGGAGAAAUUCCAGGCAACUUAUCUUACUGUUCCAGGCUCAUAGGCUUAUAUUUAGGACGCAACAAGCUAGAAGGAAGUAUUCCUUCAGAAUUUGGCUCUCUAUACAAUCUUAAAGAGCUAGCUAUACAGGCAAACAAUUUGACAGGAGGCAUCCCACAUUUUCUUGGGAACAUUACCUCCCUGGAAGCUAUAUCUCUAGCUUACAAUUCCCUUGGGGGAAAUAUUCCAAGUUCAUUGGGUCAAUUGAAAGAGUUAAAGUCUCUUGGACUCGGUGGAAACAACCUCGGCGGUACAAUCCCUCCCUCCAUUUACAAUCUUUCCUUGCUUGCUAAUUUUUCUGUUUCUGAGAAUCAACUUCAUGGAAGUCUUCCGCCAAGUUUAGGUCUAACUCUUUCUAAUCUCCAACUCUUCCAAUUCUCAAAAAACUUCUUCAGUGGAUCCAUUCCACUAUCUUUUUCCAAUGCUUCAAAACUCCAAUCUCUUGAAAUUUUGGGUAAUAAUUUUUUCGGAAAACUUUCUGGGAGACAUGAAAAAUCUUGAAUACCUAAAUGUAGGCAUAAAUAAUUUAGGAAGUGGGGAAAGUGAUGAGAUGAGUUUUAUACAUUCUUUGGCCAACUGUAGCAAUUUGUCCUUUCUAAAUUUAGUUGCAAAUCGAUUUAAAGGAGCAUUGCCUCAUUCUAUAGGUAACCUGUCUAGUCAACUUGAACGCUUGUUCAUUGGUGCUAAUCAGUUUUCAGGAAGCAUACCUUCGGAAAUAGGUAAACUUGUUCGCUUAUAUUUAAUAGAGAUGGAUCAUAACCAAUUUGAAGGAAAAAUUCCCGAGGAAAUGAGUCGCCUUCAGAACUUACAAUUUCUGGAUAUGAGGCACAACCAACUCUCGGGAAAUUCCUUCUUCUUUUGGUAACUUGUCAUCACUAGUUGAACUUCAGUUGAAUAAUAACAAUUUAUCAGGAGUCAUCCCUUCUAGUCUAGGAAAUUUAAAACAAUUGGCACUAUUGCACCUGUUCCAAAAUGACCUCAGUGGGGCUAUCCCAGAAGAAAUUUUCAAUACAUCUCAUAUGUCAGAUUCACUGAAUUUUGCCCGAAACCACUUGGUUGGAUCCAUACCUCCAAAGAUUGGUAAUCUGAAAGUUCUAAGGAUGUUUGUUGUGUCUAGCAAUAACUUGUCUGGUGAAAUUCCAAGCGAAAUUGGUUCUUGUUUUUAUCUUCAAGAGAUUUAUAUGGCAGAAAAUUUCUUUCGUGGAUCCAUUCCUUCAUCCCUGGGUUCUUUGAAAGAUCUGCUAGAGAUUGAUCUUUCUCAGAAUAAUUUGUCAGGGAAAAUUCCAAUAUCCCUCGAACGUCUUCCUUUGGAGUACCUAAACUUAUCCUUCAAUGAUUUAGAAGGCCAAGUACCAACGAAAGGAAUUUUUGCAAAUGCUAGUGCUAUAUCAGUUUCUGGUAAUAGUAAUAGACUUUGUGGGGGCAUACCUGAAUUGCAACUGCCCAAAUGCCCCAGGAACAAUUCAAGGAAUCAUAAGAUCUCUCGAGGGGCACUGAAAGUAAUCAUCUCAACUUGUAGUGUCUUUUCAGGAUUACUCCUGGUGUCAUUUUUCAUUUUCUACUGGCUGAGAAGGAGGGGAGGAUCAGGCAAAGAACCUUCAGAGCCCAUACUGAGAAGAGCACUACGGAAAGUGUCUUACGAAAGUCUCCUGAAAGCAACUGAUGGGUUUUCUUCGACACACUUGAUUGGGAUUGGCAGCUUUGGCUCUGUGUACAAAGGAACAUUCGAUCGAGAUGGAACUAUUGUUGCAAUCAAAGUGCUUAACCUUCAACUACGAGGAGCUUCGAAGAGUUUCGAGGCUGAGUGCAGAGCCUGAGAAAUAUCCGUCACAGGAAUCUUGUCAGGGUCAUAACUUCAUGCUCAAGUAUUGAUUUUCAAGGUAACGACUUCAAAGCUCUUGUUUACGAGUACAUGCCAAAUGGGAGUCUCGAAAACUGGUUGCAUCCAGAUGCGAUUCCACAAACAGAUGAAGAAAAUGACGAGAUUCGAAAUCUUACCCUUCUUGAGAGAAUAAGCAUUGCAAUCGAUGUGGCAUCUGCACUGGACUAUCUUCAUCACCACUGCCAAGAACCAACAAUCCAUUGUGAUCUAAAGCCAAGCAAUAUCCUUCUCGACAAUAACUUGACUGCUCAUGUUGGUGAUUUCGGGCUGGCAAGAUUACGUCAAGAAGUCCCAAAUAAUCAGAGCAGCUCUGUUGGAGUAAGAGGAACAAUUGGCUAUGCAGCCCCAGGUGAUUGCUUUCAAAUCCAUUGAGUUGCUUUUUCACAUUUACAACUCUUAAUUUCUUCUUAAAAAAUACUAUAGUGCUUGAUGUAAUUUUUUUUGAAUGGCAUAGUAUGGCCUAGGAAGUGACGUGACAGCAAAAGGAGAUGUUUACAAUUAUGGGAUAUUGUUGCUAGAAAUGGUGACAGGAAAAAAAACCCACAGACAUUAUGUUUGAAGGAGACUUGAAUCUUCACAAUUUUGCUAGAAUGGCCUUGCCCGAUCAUGUGAUGGAUAUUGUAGAUUUAACACUUAUAAAUGAUGAUGGAGAUUUAGAUACCACAAGUAACCAGAGGCUGCAGCAAGCAAGGCUCAACUGUAAAAUAAGAGCGUCUCAGUUCUAUGGUUAAGAUUGGAGUUGCAUGUUCAGUGGCAUCGCCGCAAGAUCGGAUGAACACAACCAAUGUUGUACACGAGUUACAAUCAGUCAAGAACAUUCUUCUUGAACACGAAACUAUGUUCAACAGGCAAAGAGGUAAUUAUUUUAUACAUACUUUCUUUCUUGUAGUAUCAUUUUAUACGACGUAGUGAAGAAAGGUUCAUUAUUACUAAAAUUCCUUUGUUUUUUAUAUUUUUAAUAAUCACAGGGUAACAGAAGUCAAAGCUUCAGAGAUCAUAAGAAAGUAAAAUUUGAUAGGAAAGGAACGCGAUCACAUGAGAAUGAGCUUCUGUUAGUUUCUGGGUUCAGUUGCAUGUAUUCAAUCCGUUUCCAAUAAAACAUUGAUUUUGAGAUUUUUAUAUAGAGGUUUGAUUUUCUUCUUUUUUUUUUUUUAAAUUUUGGUUAUUUUGACGAGCACAUAUUUUUAUUUGUAUUAACAGAGCGAAUACUCUGUGUACUAACCUGUAUCUAGAGGUUCUCCAUAGCAGCAAUACUUGAAAAUGAAUCUUAAUAUUGUGAGUAAACUUGGAUCACCACAUGACAUCAACUUUUGCGAAAAAUAUAUUAGAAAAUAAAAAUUGCUAGGGAUUGAGAAACAACGACAAUCCCAUUUCCAUUGAUGAUCAGAAAUUAACUUUAUUCAUGUUAAAUUGAUUAGAGCACCAACGUACGUACACCAUCAACACAUACAAUGACAAUGAUGCUCACUCUUGACUGGCUUGCAAAUGCAGCCCUUGCACUCGGUGGUACAAUACUUCCAGCAUUUACCGGUAUUGGGUUGAUCGUCCUUGCCCUUAACACAGUUUCCAAGCUGAGGAUGGUUUCUGCAACAUUUUGAAGCGCUCACCUCAUUGCAAUCUGAACAUAUAUAUGAACUUGGAUCAAUAUUAUUAAAAAGGUUUCUAUAAUGAAGCAAUUAUCUUUGAGAUAUUAUGUGAAAAUUAGAGCAAAAAUUUUCAUGUUUUGAACACAAGAGAAUAACUAUAUAUGAAAUUCGUGUAUGUGGUAUUUAGCCAUUAGUUCAUGAAUCCAAUUAAUAAAUAUCACUUUGUGCAGAUUAUUUAGUUUUAAAACUUAAGUUACAAUAGAAAUAAAACUAAAAACUAAACGUACUGAUCACGAUGGUCAGCAAAAGGACUGCCAAAAUAAUGAAAGCGAAAACUUUAGUUUGAGAUUGAGCCAUGUCUCCGAUCUUGUGAAUGAACUGGUUGCAUAAAAGAUUGUUCAAAGUUUUUGUGUGAUUUGAUAAACUCCCAUGGUCGUACACUAUUUAUAUUUAUAGUGACUUCUGUGACUUACAGUGAGCAGAUUUCAGUAGCUCGUAAGGAGAAGAUUUAAUGCAGCAAUGUAAAAAUAAGAAGGUAUUGAUUAAUCACCUAAACAUAUACUACUAAAAUCUUUGUAUUUACCUUAAAAAAACACAUUAAUUCCCGUUUUGCUUUUAAUGCUUCCACACUGAUUUAAUUUCCUAUUUCGUGUAUGGAAACUUCCAACCGUGCAUUUGAUUCCAACGUUUUGGUCUUUGUUGUUUCUUACAUUCACAGAAUAUUUACAAUAAAUCUAAGUUUAUUCUUACCCUUUUGAAUAGAUAUACUAAUUAAUUAGGAAAUUCACAGUUUUUAUUAAAAACUAAAUUUGGCAGGUAAUACAUAAGUUAAAUAUUGCAAAUUUUCUGCACUAUAUAUAUAUAUGAGGGCGGAUUAAGAGCCCUCUAAAAUUACACUUAAUUUUAUACUAAUUUUAAGACUUUGGAUUUAAAAUAUAUCAAGAAGAUUUAAUAAAUUAAAUGGUAUUACUCUUUUUUACUUUUUAUCAUUAAUGCACACUUUCUCUCUCCUCUCAUCCAUCUUCUUCCCCAACGCUUUCUGCCUUCUCAUCCAUCUUAAUAAAAAAUUAGGAGGAGUUUAUAAAGUAAUUUUUUUUUUUUUUUAUCGAUAAACAAAGGAAAUUUGAAAAUCCUCCGGUUUCCUUUGUUAAGUUUAUUCUUGUUGGAACUCUUCAACUGGCAAAAUCCUAAAGACAUACACCGGCCAUACCAAUUCGAAGUACUGCAUAUCAUCCACCUUCUCCGUGACAAAUGGGAAGUAUAUUGUUAGUGGUUCUGAGGAUAGUUGUGUGUACUUAUGGGAAGUUCAGGCCCGAAAAGUAGUUCAGAAAUUGGAAGGUCACACAGGUCCUGUCAUAUCAGUGGCAUCUCACCCCACGAAGAACAUUAUCGCAUCUGGUGCACUUGACAAUGAUAGGACCGUGAAGAUUUGGACUCAGGAACAGGAAUGAAUUGCUUCUCAGUUAAGAAUUCUCUCGACAUUAUUGCAUAUAUAUAUAUAUAUAUAUAUAUGAAUGCAAGGAGAAAAUUGGAGAUAGUUUUGUUUGUUUUGUAGACACAUUGAUUGGGUUUCAAUUUCAUGUAAUAUUAAAAUCCAUUGAUAAGAAUUACAUAUGAAGGCAUAAAGAUUUUAUUAUAAAAGAAUGUGCAACUGUUUGCCGAUUGAGGUUCAAAAUUUUAGCACACAAUUGCGUAUAGAAGGAAACUGUGUACAAGCACUUACUUCCUCAGUUCCUCUAAUUGAAAUUGACACCAGGCUGCUGCAUCAGCACAAAACUUGUAAUCAUGCAUGCGUUAGUUUCACUUUUACUUGCCAUUAAAAUUCUGCUCUUCAAUUCUUCUAAAUAUGCUUCUAUAAAUUGAUUACCAGUGACUGAAAGUUGAUUUGGAAAAUGUUGUAAUUCCAAAACCACAUAAAGCAAAGCAAGCUUGGUGCUUUACAUUUUUCAUGAGAAAUUCAACUAGUAAAGAAAGGCAACCAACCCGAGAAAUUAAUCACAUCCAAAUCCGCAUUAGGCAUCUAAUAGAACAAUUAGAAACAACUAAUGGAUGAUAUAAGAAAACAACUUGUGAAAAUUAAACCAUCUAUUGUUUAACAUUCAAAGUGCAGCAAGAACUAUCCUUAAUUACUAGUUCUCAAUUGUUUAAGGGCGCUCGUUCUUUGAUCGCACAGGAAGCAACCAAAUGGACUCGACUUGAUAUUUUUAAUACGUUUGAAGCAGAAUUGAAUCAUGUCAUUUUAUCUUGUAGUAAUCCUUUCUAAGCCCCCUUUAAAAUCCUUAUAAAACCUCACUUUUGUAAUAAUAGUCCUAUAAGUUCUAUCGUUAGACGAAAUUACAUAAAAGGACAACUAAUGAAUUAAACUAAAUUAAAAAUCUUAAUACCAGCAAAUUAUGAACCCUCCUAUCUUUAAAUCAUAUAUAAACUCAAAAUAGUUUUGAGAUAAUGAAAAAAAUAAAUUGCCUAGUAAUAAGAUCUUUAUUAUGAAAAAUAUAAUUAUUUUGAACUCUAUUUCAAAAUUGGUGAAACUAAAAAUAACACCCAGCCCUCAAAUGUUGUUGAAUUUCGAGUUGGAUUUCUGUACGCAUGUAGAUAUUCGUAAAGCUAUGCUAUAGAAAAAAGAAAAAAAAAAAAAAAAAAAGGGAGUCAAUCUGGAGGGUUGAGAUCAUUUUUAUUAUUUUUAAAAAAUUAAAAAGAAAAAAGAAAAAAUAUUAGAAUUUGGUGAAUUGAUGAAAAACUCUUUGAAAGAUCCUUUUAUGGAGCAAAAAGGGUUUUGGAAAAAAUGUAAAUUUUUUUUAUAGGCCUAGACCCAAAGGCUAUACACAAUUUUUUAUGUAAAAAAGGCAAUUUUGUCGCUAAAGGGUAACAUGUUAAAUUUUGAGAUGGACUUUUGUAUGCAUCUAGAUAUUGAUGAAACUAGGCCACAACAAAAAAGAAAGGAGAGAGAGAGUUAAUUUUUUGGCCUAAAAUAAUUUUACAAACCUUUGAAAACUUUUACAAAAAAAAAAAAAGUUAGAAGAACUUGUCGAAUUGAUGUGGAACUCAUUUGAAGCUCUUUUUAGAGCCUGAAUAGGGUUUUUAUUUGGGGGAUGUGCUUCGAUGAAGACCAGCAGUGACGAGCAGACAUCUGGUAGCAGGAUCUCGCGAACAGGUAUAUCUUGUAAGAGUCUGGUAGCAGGGGAGCAGAAGCAUGAAUAUUCUACUCGUCCAUUAAUAUAUCAUUCGCGAGGCCGAUCUCCUUCUAGAAGCAUAAAGCCAUUUCUUGCUAAGGGUUGAGUCGAGGAGACCCGGUCAACGACAGUUGGCGAAGCGUACUCUUUAACCCGAGAAUUAAGGCACGAAGGCCACGCAACCACCCACGAUUACAGAAAUGGAGCAUCCACUUUCGAGAGGUGGGAGGGUAACGAGCGUGAAUGAAGGGAAGGUCUGAAUUCAGGAGAGGCCUAUAAAAAGGUAGCCAACGAAGGUAAAAGGGUUAGAACUUUUGAUACAUAAACUGAGAAAAAGAGAGCAUUUCAAUAAUCAAUACCCAAAAACAAGCCUUGAGAUUAGUGGCUAACGUUCCUAGGAACACAAAACCUUCAUAUCUGACUUGAGCGUCGGAGGGUUUACGCCGGGAGAACAACCGGCGUGCUCUGACUUGUUUCUGUGUACGCAUGAAUUUUUGGAAAAGAAAGCAUACGAGGAGAGAUCAUGAUCGUGGUCGAGUCGAUUGAGUAAAGAUCCUGGUCGUAGUAGAAAGAGUAAGCAGAAUCUCGCAUCAACAAUUUUUAUGCGAAAAAUCCAAUUUCUUUAUUCAGGCUCUAUUUCAGCUCUGAAUAAAGGUUAUAGCAUAAGGUUUUGGGUCUUCAAAUGGAUUUUGCUGUUAGGGGGUAAUGGUAUUGAAUUUACAACUGAUUUUUUGCACGCAUGGAGAUAUCCAUGAAACUAGGCCAUAGGAGAACAUGGGAGUCAAUUUGGAGGUUCGAAAUAUUUUUUUCCAAUUUUCAUAAUGUUUUUUUGAAAACAUUAAAAAAAAUUCCAAAAACUUAAGAGAGCUUGUUGGAUUAAUGUAGAACUCUUUGGAUAAAUACCAUAUUGCAUCUUGUUGGAUUAAUGUAGAACUCUUUGGAUAAAUACCAUAUUGCAUUCAUUUAGAUGCAAUUGAUUUAGCGUCCAAUUGUUUUCCAACUAUAAAUAUGACCUAAAUUUUUAAUAAAAGUUGUUCUUGAAAAUGGUACUAUCGAAUACAUAUUAAAUAUUUUUAUAAUUUUCAAUUGUGUCAAUUGAAUACAUAUUAUUGUUUUCAAUUUUAAAAUAAAGGAUACAGAAAAUAAUAUCAAAUGCAUGUCACAUUAAUUUAUAAAAGAUAAAUUUAUACAAAUAUUUAUUCACGUAUCAUCACUCUAUAAUAAAAAAAAGUCUAAUAUCACUAGCGUUAAAAGCUCGACUUGUUUGAUAAAUUAAAAUUAUAAGAUGAACAAGGCAUCAUCGCUGUCCUUUUAGUGUAGAUAAAAGUUUGAAGCCCAAUAGCGGCGAGAUGGCCCAUGAUAUGAUGAUGGACGGUUCAGAUCUUUCUGAUUAUGCCGAUAAACCCUAGCGUUUUCUUUCCUUUCUAUAUAAAUAUAUCAAGUUACCUCGCCCUUUCCUCCUCAUCAAAUCGAAUGAAUCAAAUGCAUUCCAAGAAUCCGCUGCUUGCCCAUCAAAGUUUUCAUCUAAAAUUUCCUUCUUUUUUUCUUAAGUUUAAAUGGAUUUAUAAAAGAAAAUGGGUGGUCGGCCUAAUAUUGCAAUUCUUUGAUACAGAGUAAAAUGAAUCAAGGAAUCUAUCGUUAGGCCAAAGCGAAGAACCGUAUACAUACUCAAAACUCGUGUAUGUAUACUCUACCUUCAGCUCCGUUUUUUUCUUACUAGAAACAUUUUGCGGUGACAAGGUAGAUACAGUCAAUUCAUUAUUCGUAGCUUUUUUGGCAUCUCCCUUCUCAAUUUUAUUUUUUUAUUUUAUUUUAAUAAGCUCGGUUUGGUAUUGGCAUGGAGGUGGAUGGAUGAUGAAAUAAAUCAGACGGAUUCCCAAUGAUUUUGUUUUAAUCAAAAUAUGAUAUUAACAACCAGCUACUUCUGACUCCACUCCAUGGCAUGAUUUAUUUAAAAAAAAAAUUAUUCUUUUUUUUUUCUUUAUUUGGGAUUGAUUUGGCCGGUGAUGUAAUAACAAAUAUUUGCUACUCUUGAUUGGGGGAUUUGUUUUACAAACUAAUUCUUCACUGAUGAUUCACAUCCACCAAGAUCUCUGAGGCCAUAACAUUUUAAUUUAUUAAUGCGGAGAUUAAAGAUUUGCUUUACAAAAGUUUUUUUUUUUUUUUUUAAUCUUUUCUCGUUUAUGGAAAUAAGAAGCUCUUUUAUCUUUUUGCUAUGCUGCAGAUAAAAAAUUUACUGUAAAUGAUAUUUAAUUAUUUCCAUCCGAACUUCCCCUUUAAGCUGGACUCAGGUUUUGAAGACUAUACAUUGGUAGCCAGGCAAUUCACAUUGGAAACUCUUAAGAGGCAAAUCCCAUAAUUUUGUAAUUUACACUGUUGGGUGCUAUUGAUGAUAUGUUGUUAAUAAUUAAUUAACAGUCAAACCAUGUACAAAGUUAAAAACUGAAACAAAGAGUGGACUUCAUUGAUACGGAUGUCAUUUGCACUUGUCAUAUCAAACAUGCAGAAUGUAAGUGAGCAUGCUCAGUCCAAUAACAUUACCACCAGUUUACAAACAAUUAGCAACUCCGGAGAGUAUACAACUUUCUUAUUGUUUGUUUGUAUUGGAACAUUGGUACCUCCCCUCCUGCAAAACUAUUGCAGGGAUUUCACUUAUCUCUGGACCUGUGUAUCCGCAGUUGUGAAGUAGAGUUGGUUACCCUCUUAGUAAUUUACAGUUGAUUUGAUUGCAUCUAAUAUCUGCAUCCAAAAUCAGGAACGGGAUUCUCGUUAGCUACCGUGAGCUGUAAGAUUCAUGCAACAAUGCUGUGUAGGAACUUUGAAGGAUUCAAGACAACUUGCCUUAUUCUUGGUGGGCAUGUAGAAUGGUUCGAAAACGAGAGGGAAGGGAGUGUCCAGACCACAAACUCGAGCCACUGGAGCUUCUAACUGCAAUGCAUCGUACCUCUUGAAUUAUUUAUUAAUUUAUAUGAUAGACAAGGAAGAUACUGAUGCAUUUCUAGAACUAAGACGUAUGUGCUUUUUUUUGUGAAAGAAAAUAACAUCAUUAUUUCAGAUAAACUUAAUGCUAGCCAAGUGAGACAUCUACUUCUCAACUAAUACCAAGAUCCCAACUUUUGCAUGAGUUUACCAUGCAGAAAUCAGCUGUGUAAUUUGACUCGCAUAGCAUCUUCACAGUAGUUAUUCAACAGUUGUACAAUCCAGAGAUUUAAUUUCAGCGCAUACCAACCUGGAACGCCAAGAAAAAGCUAUGCACACAACUACUCUAGAGUGCCACCAAGAAUGACUAAUUUUCUACUCAAAUGUUUUAUCUAACAGUUACCUAGCAGUGCAAUGUCAAAGACCAACUCCUUAUAUUGCUCAAAAUUAGUGAGUUAAGAGCAUGAAAGCCAUAUUUUACAUGCAAGAAAAGCAUUCCGGUUUGCCCCUAGUAGCUAGUACAUUAAUUAACUAUACAAGAGUACACAAGCCAUGUUGAUAGGUGCCUUGUCUCAUCAGAAUUGUUUAACUGUGAUACGUAAUCUGCCAUCCAACCAGUGAUUUGUCAUACUACAAUUUACCAGCCUACAACGUUUAUUCAAACUAUUACUGAAGAUUAGCACCAAAAUCAACAACAAUCAGCUCGGGUUACUAAAUAACAGAAAGAAUCAAGGAAAAAAAAUGAUCUGAAGAAAGAGAUUACCCUUAAGAAACAACGUUCAAGGAUAGAUGCAGAAAUUUCAGCACCAAAACCACCAGUAACCGGAGCUUCAUGACUAAUCUGCAGAGUGCCAAAAAAUAAAAAAACUCAUCACUGACACCAGCCAAUUAUAUCAAGAAGCAUUUUUAUGUGAAAUUUUUAUCCUUACAAGAAGUCGUCCGGUUUUCCUGACAGAGGCCUCUACUGUUUCCUUAUCCCAUGGUAUCAGCGUCUUCAGGUCUAUCAGUUCACAAGAAAUUCCUUCCUGGAAAAACCCCGUGGCUCAAAUAACUAAUGAGAACCAAAAUCCUUAAGAUAGCAAAAAGCAUUUCCUUGUGCUAGUAAUAACAUUACAUCAAACGUUGUUGCAUUAUGAUUCUGGAAAUACUUGAUAGGGGGAUAUGAUAUGGAGGUUGGAGAUUGAUUAGAAUUACACCACACAAUUACCUAGACCUCAUGGAUGUGCUACCAUAUAAUAUUUCUGCACCACUGCAUAUGGUCUAAGAAGUUUGGUAUAGUUCGUAUCACAAUAAAAAAAAAAAAACAUUUUCGAGCAAUGAGAAAGAAUCACAUACCUUUUCAGCAUCUAAACAGGCCUGCUCCAUGAUAGACAGUUGUGCUCCCCAGCCAACAAGUGUUAUGUCACUGCCUUCUCGAAUCACCUAAUUAUUGCAAUUUGAAUUUCUUCAGAUUCCAAAUUCUCUAUCGAAGAUAAUUAUUUAUUGAUGAAUAAGUUGCAUACCUCUGCCUCUGAUAAAGGCAACAUAUAAUCAUCCUCAGGAACCUCUUCUACAGAAAAACGGUAAAGCCACUGGAUAUCCAAGACAUUUACAUGAUAUCAAUAACAAAAAUCAUCAGUUGAUAAAUGGGUACAAAAAGAAUCACCAAACUUGAGUUGAAGUACAGUACCUUUGGCUCAAAAAAGACAACAGGGUUCGGAUCACGAAUGCAUGACAGCAAUAAUCCUUUUGCUUGUUGUGGGCUUCGAGGGAUGACCACCUAGAAAAUUCACUGAUUAAGUAUUGGAAGCAAUGCAAAACAUCAAACAAUUUUAGAAGGGAAGUGCUAAACUUCAGCUCCCUUGCAAAAGGAUUAGGACCAAUUGAAAGAUUUUCUAUAAUCUCAAAGGUACAACAAAACAGUUUCUUUGGACUCCUCAUGAACUGCAGUUAGCAUGAGGAGCAUUGCCCCACAGGGAGAAGGAUGCUAACCACAGGAGAGAAGAGAAAUAAAUAAAUUAAAGUCAUAUUAACUCAAGGAGAAGAAAAUAUACUUUGAGACCAGGAACGUGACAAAAGAAAGCUUCAGGAGAUUGUGAGUGAUAAUGUCCACCAUGGCCCACAGCUCCGUAAGGGGCUCUUACUGUUAAUCCUGGGGAAUCACAUGAAGGCCCUUCAAGGACAAAACAAGAGCAGAGAGAAGGGGAGGAAGAAAAACUAAAAAAGAAAGAACCAGAGGGGAGCAUUGGACAAUAAACGCAGCAACAUAUUACCUCCACAAUUAAAUUGAUUUCCACUCCUGUAUCUGAACUUAGCAGCUUCAUUGACAAUCUACCAAGAAGAUUAUGUCAACUAAAGGUGAAUUAUGAAGCCACAAGAGAUGCUAGUUUCUGGAAGAGAGCUAUACCUGAUCAAAAGCUGGAAAAAUAUAAUCUGCAAAUUGAAUUUCAGCUAUAGCUCGAUUUCCCUAUCACACAUGAAAUGAAAGCAAGGGAUAUGUACAUCAUAUUAGAGGUUCCUGAGGAACUAUGCUGAGAAUGACUUCCCAGCUUGUGCAUUUUAAACAUAAGUUUCUGAAACAAACCAUAGCUGCCAGACCAAUGGCAAACCCAACGAUGCCCUGCAUACAAAAAAGAUAAUACGAACCUAUCAAAUAUGCAUAGCACAGAAGAGUCCAAUAUUAGUGCGUGGAAAGAGAGUGAGACUCUCUAUUUGACUCAAUACGCAGGAGUAUGAACUAUGACACCAAAAAUGGAGAUUAUAUAUGAACUAUGACCAAGAACAGAGUCUGGAAUACCUGCUCACAAAGAGGGGUAUUGAAUACCCGACUUUUACCAAAUCGAUCAGCUAAUCCUGUCGUGCAUCGGAAGACUCCACCAAAGCCCACAUCUUCUCCAAACACAUAAGCACUGUGACAAGAUAUAACCAUCCAUAAGAAGACUCACCGUCACAGAACUCGCAAAAGUACAAAGAGGCUCUAACGAUGUAAAAUAGAAAAGAAGACUAUAACCAAAGUUGGUUGGUGUGAGUGGUUCGGCACUCUCACUCCUUAAGAGAGGUCAGGGGUUCAAGCCCCGCUCUCGUAUGGAGUCAUCACUUUGGCCAGCAUUUUACCCCUUAUGGGCCGACCCGGUGAGAGCGGAAAUUAGUCUGAGUUGUGGUACGGGCUUAAAGAUGCCUCCCACAGUUGGGGCCCACUCAGGACCACCUCGUGGUUCAGACAAAAAAAAAUAGAAAAGAAGACUACAUAUUUCACAGGAUUUGAGAAAAUUUCAGCUGAAAUGAUUAAAAACAAAUUCAUCGAAAUGAAAACGCAUGAGAGACUGCUAAGCCAGGCAAUCGACAGCUAAUCCUACACCAAUCCUUAUCAACUUCAUGUAUCAUCCUCUCCAAGUUUCCAUUUUUCUUCAACGAACUGAAUAGUCAAUGAAAAUAAUACUAACCCAAAUCCAAAAUCUCAAAUCACUGAUCAGAUAUAAAAAUAUGAAGACAAUUCAUUAAGGCCUACAAAUCCAAACCAAGCUCAAAAGACAACAAAAACUCCACAAAGAUUGAAAGUAUACAAGAAUAAAUAAAAAAAACACAAAAACCAAGCCGGGUAUCUUAAAAAACAAACCGUGGAUCAGUUUCCAAAGCAAUAUGAAGAGCCUGGUUGAUGGCAGAGUACAAAUUCAAAGACUUGCCACUGCCAACACCCCCAUCGUGUUGUUGAAUUAGCUGCUUGUUCGCACAAGCAGUUGAAAGAUUUCUCCUUGAAAGGGAACCCACAAAUCUUCUCAAACCAGAAGCCAUAUUGUGAAAUCUCCGCCAAGAUUUUUGGUUGUGGAGUCUGCAAAUAUUGAAUUCAUGUGCGUUUGUCUGCGUUGAAAUGUUUUUAGUUCGGAUUUGAGGGGAGUUGAGAAUAAGCCAGCUCAAGUAUUACGUGGAUAGAGCUCUAUAGUUUGGAGCCGGGGGCGUACUAGCUGCUGAGUUGUUUUCUGUGCACGUGCCGGUCUGAUCACUACAUGAUAAAUCUAUUGGUUAGUGAAUAUGUCUCUUAUUUGUAGCGAUGAUGUGCACUUUUAUAUGUAAUAUUACGCAAAUAGUGUUACUGCUUUGCCUUUUAGGAUUUUAUUUUAUGUUUAAUAUCAAGUCCUAUGCUAAGAUUAGUGCCUCUAAGCAAAAGGUCAAGUAUAGUAAGCGCCAUGAUACCAACGUAUAAACUCGGCAAUUUGUCAUCUUCUUUGCAUUUACUAGUACGUAAACAGUAAGUAGCAAGCAUUAAAACAUUGACUUGGCAGCGCAACAUAGCUCAUUUCCUUCGGUUGAGGCAACGCCUUAAGCUCUUACGUGGCGAGAGCGUAGUCCCCAAACGGCUAAAGUCCUAAGUUCGACUAUUAUUAGGAGAGAAUGAGACAAGAUCUGAUUACCCUCUCUUAAACAAGUAAAGAAAAUACAUUAUUCUAUUCAUCAAACAUGUUGGUAGAAGCAACCAUUUUCAGAAAUUUUAGAAAAAAGAGACUUUAUUACGAUCAUCAGAUCAUUUACGUAACUUUAUUUAGUUACAAAUUUAGAUAAUAAUUCAUAACUUAUUAUUUUGAAACGACAACCGGGUGCUUAUAUAAAGUAGUUUAGAAAUUUGGCUUUGGCGUCACCACUCAAAACGAAGAAUGGAUACUCUGCAAAUCAGCCAUGAAGGCAUCAACCGUGAUUAAUGGCCUCAUGCUAUAAGCAAUAGGCAAAGCAACGACCCCUGAUCAAGUCAGUCAACCACAGUAUUGCUAAAACUUCUGAAAUAUUAAAUUUGGAAUCUUAACCUGUAUGAUGAUUACCAUUUAUUGAUAACUGCAUCAGCUUUCAGUAACCUUUCUACUUACCAACAAUACACAAAACACAAGGCAAUCUUCAAUUUCGCGUCACAGCAUACAUGGCUUGUUCAGCAUUCCAUUCCACACAGAGAAAGCACCAAUGCAAUUUUAUUAAGCAGAAAACAAAAAGGGUCAUCACAUGCACUGGUAAAAAUAGCUACCAUAAAAGCAUACUCUAUUUCUUUGCUUACUGAAUAUCAAAAGCUCUCUAUUACAUUGAAAUAAUUUUCCCAGCUUGGCGCUUUAGCAGUCCUCUCUUCACCCAAAUUCAAGCUGCUCCAUAAGACAGGAAAAAUAUCCCAGACACAACUUUUCUUUUUAAAAAAAGAUAUUAAAAAAAAAAAGCAUAAUGGAAGAAGAAACAUAAAGAAAAAGCCACUAAAUAGCAUUCACUAAACCCAAAACCCUAGCAGAUGAAAAACUUUGUUAGAAGAUACCCACUA
This 29396-nucleotide long non-coding RNA is filed under the name Citrus maxima (pomelo). RNAcentral describes it as "long non-coding RNA (CMAX_LNC000449)". The stretch from base 23053 to 23141 matches the Rfam family "Small nucleolar RNA R12". The record is from RNAcentral. Lineage: Eukaryota; Viridiplantae; Streptophyta; Magnoliopsida; Sapindales; Rutaceae.